This 181-nucleotide ribosomal RNA is filed under the name Dociostaurus maroccanus. Its description in RNAcentral is "partial 18S ribosomal RNA". It matches the Rfam family "Eukaryotic small subunit ribosomal RNA", at positions 1656 to 1831 of the family's 1831-position model. The record is from RNAcentral. Lineage: Eukaryota; Metazoa; Arthropoda; Insecta; Orthoptera; Acrididae.
GCUUUUGUACACACCGCCCGUCGCCACUACCGAUGGAAUGAUUUAGUGAGGUCUUCGGACUGGUACGCGGCAUCGACUCUGUCGUUGCCGAUGCUACCGGAAAGAUGACCAAACAUGAUCAUUUGGAGGAAGUAAACGUCGUAACAAGGUUUCCGUAGGUGAACCUGCGGAAGGAUCAUUA